This 439-nucleotide small RNA is filed under the name Pongo abelii (Sumatran orangutan). RNAcentral's name for it is "processed transcript". The record is from RNAcentral. Lineage: Eukaryota; Metazoa; Chordata; Mammalia; Primates; Hominidae.
GACCUUGGCACCGCGUUUGUCAAGUUUUCUACUCUUACAAAGGAACUGUCCACACUGCUGAAAAAUCUGAUCAGCCUUCAUCCCCAUUGCAGCCUCAUCCCCUUGUUGUGAGAGCCAAUGCAGUGACAUCUGCAGAAUGGCAAUCCAGCUACUGGGGCAGGAAGAUGAUCCAAGAUGACUCAAAGAUGGGGUCUUGCUAUACUCCCCAGGCUGUUCUUGAACUCCUGGGCUCAAGCAAUUCUCACACCUUGGUCUCCCCAAGUGCUUGGAUUACAGGCAUGAGCCACCAUUCCUUGUCCUGAAAUGAUUUUAAAUGUGUUUUUUGUUUAAUAAAAUGAAAAAAAUGCACUUUCAAAAACAUACCCUUCAACUUUUUAUAGACUUGAAUCAUGUAAAGUACUUACGUUAAUUCAACUUUAUGAAUAAAGGAAAGAAAAUG